AGUGAACGCUGGCGGUAGGCCUAACACAUGCAAGUCGAACGGCAGCACAGUAAGAGCUUGCUCUUACGGGUGGCGAGUGGCGGACGGGUGAGGAAUACAUCGGAAUCUACUUUUUCGUGGGGGAUAACGUAGGGAAACUUACGCUAAUACCGCAUACGACCUACGGGUGAAAGCAGGGGAUCUUCGGACCUUGCGCGAUUGAAUGAGCCGAUGUCGGAUUAGCUAGUUGGCGGGGUAAAGGCCCACCAAGGCGACGAUCCGUAGCUGGUCUGAGAGGAUGAUCCGCCACACUGGAAAUGAGACACGGGCCAGACUCCUACGGGAGGCAGCAGUGGGGAAUAUUGGACAAUGGGCGCAAGCCUGAUCCAGCCAUACCGCGUGGGUGAAGAAGGCCUUCGGGUUGUAAAGCCCUUUUGUUGGGAAAGAAAAGCAGCAGGUUAAUACCCCGCUGUUCUGACGGUACCCAAAGAAUAAGCACCGGCUAACUUCGUG
This 492-nucleotide ribosomal RNA is filed under the name uncultured bacterium. Its description in RNAcentral is "partial 16S ribosomal RNA". It matches the Rfam family "Bacterial small subunit ribosomal RNA", at positions 29 to 507 of the family's 1533-position model. The record is from RNAcentral.